CCUACGGGAGGCAGCAGUGAGGAAUAUUGGUCAAUGGACGAGAGUCUGAACCAGCCAAGUAGCGUGAGGGAUGACUGCCCUGUGGGUUGUAAACUUCUUUUAUCAGGGAAUAAAACGAGGCACGUGUGCCUUUUUGCGUGUACUUUAUGAAUAAGGAUCGGCUAACUCCGUGCCAGCAGCCGCGGUAAUACGGAGGAUCCGAGCGUUAUCCGGAUUUAUUGGGUUUAAAGGGAGCGUAGAUGGGGUGUUAAGUCAGUUGUGAAAGUUUGCGGCUCAACCGUAAAAUUGCAAUUGAUACUGGGAGUUGUGAGGAGAGUUAAGGUAGGCGGAAGUCGGGGUGUAGCGGUGAAAUGCUUAGAUACCACGAAGAACCCCGAUUGAGAAGGCAGCUGACUAAACUGGGACUGACAUCGAUGCUCGAAAGUGUGGGUAUCAAACAGGAUUAGAUACCCCUGUAGU
RNAcentral lists this ribosomal RNA (459 nucleotides) under uncultured bacterium. Its description in RNAcentral is "partial 16S ribosomal RNA". It matches the Rfam family "Bacterial small subunit ribosomal RNA", at positions 338 to 794 of the family's 1533-position model. The record is from RNAcentral.